AAACAAAUCAAUGCAUAAUGAAUUCAAAACCCAAAGUAAUAGAUUGUAUGCUACAAGGCUUCCAUAACCCUAACUAAUAAACUUAACAACUCAUGAAUAAAACAAAAAUCAUCAUAACUAUAUUCAUCAUACCAAAAACUAGAAGAUGAUCUUGGUGUGCGAAUAGUGAAAACAAGAGAGAAAAACAUUUUUCUCUCUCUCUGGGCUAAGCCGCCACUCUCCUCUCUCAAAAAUAAUACAAAAUAAUGAAUUAUGAAUAAAAAUUCAGCAUUAAGCCUUUUAAUAAUCUUUUCUCUCAUAAUUGCUUUCUAAGUUCCUAAACUAAUUAUAAAUGACAAACUAGUCUUGGACAUAGUUUCUAGGAGCCACAUUUGGUCCAGACAGCUACUCUUUCUUGUGUCAUAUGCCAACCGCAUUUCAUAGUCUUAUUAUGUCUUCAUCUACCUCAUUAAUACCUGAAAUCAUUCUAAGCAUAUCGGUUAGCUCAAUUACAAAGAAGUAGAGUAAAAACAUAAGAAACUAGACACUUUGUUCUCUAAACUUAGCUAAAAUAUGGAUAAGUUAUGGUGCUUAGGUUUAUAAAUACACCCAAGAUCACCACCCCACACUUAAAGCUUUGUUCAUCCUCGAACAACAUAUCCAUUUAUACAUACUACACAAGCCUUAGCACCCACAAAGGAAGACAAAAUGCUCAAAUAGGCUUACACAACAAUUAUGAACAAGAAGUCGAUUCAGGAAUCAUUACUAGAGACAACCUAUCCUUAAGAAUAGACUCAUUAAGUUGGUAAUUUCAUGCAUACCAUUUAAGCAAAGAAAUCAUAUAAAUUACCCAACUUUUAUCAACCAUGUGCCCUCAUAAUAAGAAAGUUACCCAUAAUCACUCACAAUCAUGCAAUUUUCUAACAAAAUGGGUACAAGAAUCAAGUUGCACUUAUUCUCACAAAUAAUUCUCAAAUUACAACUGAUGACCAUAUGCUUGCCCUUAGUGUAAUACUCCACUAAUAUCAGAAUGCUAAGAAUAGGAUCAAAUAAUUCUUUUACGGGUUGUAAUGCAGGCUAAAGGAUGAGUAGGAACUAUUUUAGCCAGAAAUAGUGACUAUCUUCCCUAAGCACUUUAAUACACUACAUUAUGCAAUUAAGACCAAUCUCUAACAACCAAUUUCCGCUUCUUCUAUCUUCAUUGAUUUGCUUUUCACCCCAACUCAUUAAGCUUAAUUAAUAACACUAUGGUGGGAGUAUGCAACCCUUUCAAAUAUUUUUUUUUGCACCCUUUUCAUGUUAUGCACCCCUAUAAUAGCCACCCUCAACUUAAGAGAUUUGCCUUAGUUGAGGUGCACAAUGUCCAAGAAGGACAAGGGCCAAAACAGGUUCAUUGUAACAUGUCCGGGAUAAAAUUUGAAACUUUUUUCAACAAUUUUUGCUACUCCCAACCACAUCAAUUUCACACACUAAUAACUAGACUUUGGGGUAUCAAUUUCACCUUUUUCCUCUAAUUGUCAAACUCCUAACUCAAAUUACUUUUUACAUUAAAGUGCUUAGGAGCUUUUGGAUCAAAUUAUGGUCUAUUAAAGAAUGGUUAGGCUACAUAUGAGGCUAACAAAAGAGCAAGCUAAAGGCUCAAUGAGGCGAGCUAAGAUAAUGUACAAAGGUAGGUCAAAAGAAGGUAUAAACAAUGGCUAUCAAAGAAAUUCCUAAAUCAUCUCCUAAACUCAUAAUCUUUAUUUCUCUUUGCACACUCACUAGGCAAAUUAUAGCAUCAGUUGCAAUAAGAAAUAUACAACAGUCUUACACACUCAUGUCACAUGAUCAACUCAAUUAACAACAUUAUAGAUUCUCAACCCAACAAUUAUAUGAAUUCAAAUAAAACCAACAAUCAUAACAAGAGUCACAACUAAAGUCUAGGUGUUUCAAACGUAAUGAUCCAUCACAUACUUAUGUUAUAAUUUCAUCUGAUCCACAAGAAUAGUUACAUGCAAUUAAAUGAUUAAUUUUAUUACAUGCAAUUAAAUGAUUAAUUUUAUCUUAAGAUGGUCGUCAUCCAUCCAUUAUUGAGAAAAGCACCUAAUUAUGACUAAAUAACUAACAAAAUAAACAAAAUUACUAAUCCUAUCUAGAAGUAUACUAAGGAGAAGGUCCUAUUAUCUUACAAAACAAGUAGCAAAGUAACUAGCCACCCCACACUUAAGCUAGGCACUGUCCCCAGUGCAAAUAACAAGAUAAAGAACCUGGCUAGUAGUACAUUUCAUCCACAUUAGGAGUCAUGCCACAUGCAUGGAGAACAUUAUUGGAGCCAUUUUUCCUGUAUUCAUCAUAUCAUCCACGUCAGCCACAUAUGAUGAAAGUAACUAUAAUUAAGAUGAGGGUUGUAAAAUCACCACCCCACACUUAAUUUGUUAGUGUAAACCAAUUAAGUAUUAUUGUCAGGUACUCAGACUUUGCCGACAUACACUUUGAUAUGGUGGACCUACAUUAUUCGCAAUAUACUUCACUCACUUCAAUUCCCCCAAUUCUAUUUCAAUGAAGCACUUUUUGAAUAGAAUCAUGCUCUACACUUUCAACCAUAUCAAAAUAUACAAAACACCAUCACUUUCACAACAUCUUCAUGGCAAGAAUUUAAUUUGUAAUCCUUAAGAAAUCAAUUAACUAUAACUUAAAGUCAAAAUACUAAGGAUUAAGAAAGUAAAACUUACCUUAAAGAUGGAUGAUUAGUGAAGGACAAAGAGAAUGGUGAGAGCUCAAAAUUGUACGGCUUAAGGGUGAAAUAAGGAUGAAUUUGGGCAUUUAGGGUGUGAAGUCUAUUUAAAGAAUGAAAAUAUGGGUCGGGUUGACCCAAGUUAAAGUUGGAUUCAUAUUAAAAUUGGAAGGGUAUGCGACGCAUAUAUUAUCACACAUCAUUAAGUGUGCGUCGCACAUGCCAUCGCUCAACCAAAAUAGUGAGCAUGUGCGUUGGUGUAAGUGGCACAUAAAUAAUCGCACAACCUCAAGUGUGCAUCGCACAAGCUGCCGCAUAAGGUGAGUUAGGCGCCGCACUUGUUAUCGCAUAAGUGAGGAAGUAGGUGUUGGCGAUAGGGUAGGCACCGUACACCUGAUCGCCUAAAGGUAUGUUUAUACCACACAGGUGAUCACAUAGCUUGAGGUAGGCGUCAUACAAGGUAAAGCAUACCUUAUGCAGUAGGCUUAGACUGUGUCUUGGCGAUGGCCUUGCCAUGGCCUAUGUAACUUAGGUGCCUCACACCCUAUAGAACAUUUAAACUUGGACUCC
RNAcentral lists this long non-coding RNA (3262 nucleotides) under Capsicum annuum. RNAcentral's name for it is "long non-coding RNA (CANN_LNC018855)". Lineage: Eukaryota; Viridiplantae; Streptophyta; Magnoliopsida; Solanales; Solanaceae. The record is from RNAcentral.